RNAcentral lists this unclassified non-coding RNA (285 nucleotides) under plant metagenome. RNAcentral's name for it is "partial contains small subunit ribosomal RNA and internal transcribed spacer 1". The stretch from base 1 to 54 matches the Rfam family "Eukaryotic small subunit ribosomal RNA", at positions 1778 to 1831 of the family's 1831-position model. The record is from RNAcentral.
AGAAGUAAAAGUCGUAACAAGGUUUCCGUAGGUGAACCUGCGGAAGGAUCAUUAUUGUAUAACCGAGGUGCGAGGGCUGUCGCUGACCCGAAAGGUCGUGCACGCCCGAGUGCCCUCACACACAUCCAUCUCACCCCUAUGUGCACCACCGCGUGGGUCCCCCUUUGGCUUGUUCGGAGGGGGGCUUACGUUUUCACACAAACUUUGUAUGCAGUGUAGAAUGUAUUUUUUGUUUUUGCGAUCACGCAAUCAAUACAACUUUCAACAACGGAUCUCUUGUCUCUC